UAGUUUUUUUAGAAAUAAAUUUAAUUUACAAAUUUUUAAUUUUUAAUUUAUUUUUUUAAUUUAAAAAUUUAUUAAUUUGAAUAUUUUAAGGGAUAAGCUUUAAAAUAAAAUAUUAAAAAUCAUUGAAUAAUUUAUUUAAAAUGUAUGCAUAGAAUUAGCAAUCAUUUAUAAGUUUGUUAUAAAUUAUUUUAUAAUUUAUAUUAUUUAGUUUUGUUUUCAUUGAAUUUAUAAAAAUUUUUUUAUUAAUUUUAAAAUAAAAAGUAAUAAUGAUCAAAUUAGUAUAUUUAAUUAUAUUGUUAAAAUAUUUUAUAUUGAGAAGUUUAUAUAAAGAACUCGGCAAAUUUUAUUUAUACUCGCCUGUUUAACAAAAACAUGUCUUUUUGAAUUAAAUUUAAAGUCUGACCUGCCCACUGAAUAAUUUUAAAUGGCCGCAGUAUUUUGACUGUGCAAAGGUAGCAUAAUCAUUAGUCUUUUAAUUGGAGGCUGGUAUGAACGGUUGGACGAAGUAUAAACUGUUUCAUAUAAAUUUAUAAUAGAAUUUUAUAUUUUAGUUAAAAAGCUAAAAUUUUAUUAAAAGACGAGAAGACCCUAUAAAUCUUUAUAUUUAAUAUAAACUAAAUUUUUUUGAUUUAUUUUAUUUUUUUUAUAUUAAUUAUUUUGUUGGGGUGAUAUUAAAAUUUAAUGAACUUUUAAUUUUUUAAAUCAUUAAUUUAUGAAUUAUUGAUCCAUUAAUAUUGAUUAUAAGAUUAAGUUACUUUAGGGAUAACAGCGUAAUUUUUUUUGAGAGUUCAUAUCGACAAAAAAGUUUGCGACCUCGAUGUUGGAUUAAGGUAUAAUUUUGGGUGUAGCCGUUCAAAAAUUAAGUCUGUUCGACUUUUA
RNAcentral lists this ribosomal RNA (879 nucleotides) under Anastrepha amita. RNAcentral describes it as "partial 16S ribosomal RNA". The record is from RNAcentral. Lineage: Eukaryota; Metazoa; Arthropoda; Insecta; Diptera; Tephritidae.